UACGUAGGUGGCGAGCGUUGUCCGGAAUUACUGGGUGUAAAGGGCGUGUAGGCGGGAAGAUAAGUCAGAUGUGAAAUUCCAUGGCUCAACUGUGGCGCUGCAUCUGAAACUAUUUUUCUUGAGUGAUGGAGAGGAAAGCGGAAUUCCUAGUGUAGCGGUGAAAUGCGUAGAUAUUAGGAGGAACACCAGUGGCGAAGGCGGCUUUCUGGACAUUAACUGACGCUGAGGCGCGAAAGCGUGGGGAGCAAACAGG
Molecule: ribosomal RNA, 253 nt
Filed under: uncultured bacterium
Lineage: Bacteria
Description: partial 16S ribosomal RNA
Rfam family: Bacterial small subunit ribosomal RNA
Source: RNAcentral